GACGAACGCUGGCGGCGUGCUUAACACAUGCAAGUCGAACGGAAAGGCCCUGCUUUUGUGGGGUGCUCGAGUGGCGAACGGGUGAGUAACACGUGAGUAACCUGCCCUUGACUUUGGGAUAACUUCAGGAAACUGGGGCUAAUACCGGAUAGGCGCUCCUGCUGCAUGGUGGGGGUUGGAAAGUUUCGGCGGUUGGGGAUGGACUCGCGGCUUAUCAGCUUGUUGGUGGGGUAGUGGCUUACCAAGGCUUUGACGGUUAGCCGGCCUGAGAGGGUGACCGGCCACAUUGGGACUGAGAUACGGCCCAGACUGCUACGGGAGGCAGCAGUGGGGAAUAUUGCACAAUGGGCGGAAGCCUGAUGCAGCAACGCCGCGUGCGGGAUGACGGCCUUCGGGUUGUAAACCGCUUUCGCCUGUGACGAAGCGUGAGUGACGGUAAUGGGUAAAGAAGCACCGGCUAACUACGUG
This 468-nucleotide ribosomal RNA is filed under the name uncultured bacterium. RNAcentral describes it as "partial 16S ribosomal RNA". It matches the Rfam family "Bacterial small subunit ribosomal RNA", at positions 28 to 507 of the family's 1533-position model. The record is from RNAcentral.